Cucumis sativus (cucumber) is the source of this 817-nucleotide long non-coding RNA. RefSeq lists it as uncharacterized. The record is from RefSeq and is a predicted model, not a curated record. Lineage: Eukaryota; Viridiplantae; Streptophyta; Magnoliopsida; Cucurbitales; Cucurbitaceae. The transcript is spliced from 3 exons.
UUCUUUUUUCUUUUCUUUUCUCUCUUCUCCUUCCUUCCCGUGCGACCCUCCUUCCCUUCUCUCCGUUCGUGCAGCAACCGCCCCAACCGUCCUCUUCUCCUUCCGUUCAUGGCCAGCCGCAGCCCAGCCGCAACCACCACCUCUAUCUUCUUCUUCUCGUCCCGCCGCAGCCAACCGCAGCCAGCCGCCGAUCCUUUCCUUCCAUUUUCUUCUUCCGUCUGCAGCCCCGCCGCGAAGCAAGACCGCGCCGCUGCCAGUCCAGAUCUGCGGCGCCGUUGCCCAACCGUCUCAGCCGGUUCUGUCUCCGUCGAAGCCAAGGCCGCCGCGUGAACCUGUAACCGCCGUGUCUCUCCGCGCCGUUGUCCAGAUCUGCAACGCCGGGUCCCCACCGGUAGCCCCGUCCCAAUUGUUUUGCCGACGCUUAUCGUUCAGAUACGAGCCGUGUAGCAUCCAACAGUUGUGCAUCGUGAAGUCCUCAUCUAUUGCGCAACUCCUCGUUUUCCAGUCGCGGGUCCGACGUCCAUCUUUAUUGUAGUGCAUAUCUGUUUUGCACGCAUCAGUUUCAUUCGAUUGUCGCUGAUUCUGUUCUGUCGUCAAUCGUCAAAGCUAUGUUGUGAUUUCAUUGGUGAUAUUGGAGAGCUGUGCUUGGAUAUUUAAGUUUCGAAGUGAACUUCAUUGGAAUUGUUGCCUCAUUCUACUUGGAAUUUAAUUUAUUGGAUUUAGUACGAUUGAAGAACUUUACGUAAACUCGAGGCAAAGGAAAUAAAGGUGGCAAACCGGCGAGGGGUAGGAAGGAAGCGUGAUUGCCAUAGGGAAU